AACGAACGCUGGCGGCAUGCCUAACACAUGCAAGUCGAACGAGACCUUCGGGUCUAGUGGCGCACGGGUGCGUAACGCGCGGGAACCUGCCCUUAGGUUCGGAAUAACUCCCCGAAGGGGGUGCUAAUACCGGAUAAUGUCUUCGGACCAAAGAUUUAUCGCCUUUGGAUGGGCCCGCGUUGGAUUAGCUAGUUGGUAGGGUAAAAGCCUACCAAGGCGACGAUCCAUAGCUGGUCUGAGAGGAUGAUCAGCCACACUGGGACUGAGACACGGCCCAGACUCCUACGGGAGGCAGCAGUGGGGAAUAUUGGACAAUGGGCGAAAGCCUGAUCCAGCAAUGCCGCGUGAGUGAUGAAGGCCUUAGGGUUGUAAAGCUCUUUUACCCGGGAUGAUAAUGACAGUACCGGGAGAAUAAGCUCCGGCUAACUCCGUG
Molecule: ribosomal RNA, 433 nt
Filed under: uncultured bacterium
Lineage: Bacteria
Description: partial 16S ribosomal RNA
Rfam family: Bacterial small subunit ribosomal RNA
Source: RNAcentral